AAAGCUUUAAGUUAAUUUAAACUAUUAACCUUCAAAGUUAUAAAUAUCUCUUAGAUAAGCUUUA
This 64-nucleotide transfer RNA is filed under the name Coridius chinensis. Its description in RNAcentral is "tRNA-Trp". The record is from RNAcentral. Lineage: Eukaryota; Metazoa; Arthropoda; Insecta; Hemiptera; Dinidoridae.